GGCAGCCAUUCGGUUAUCUGGCAUGGAAAUUAGUGAUCUGACCAUGGAGCUCAGUGAUCUUGGCCAGGAUAUCACCCAAGGUGUGAGAAGUUCCACCAGAGCUGUUCGAGUAGCCGAAGAGAGAUUGCGUCGCUUGACAACCAUGUCUCCAACAGGAAAUGACAGUAACCAAUCUGGGAGUGGGGACAGCAGAGCCGGUUCUGGCUAAAAGGGCAAGAGACAUUAAGGAGGGGAUUGUGAAAGGCCGUUCCGUCUUCCAAUUAUUUCUCUCCCUUACAAGGUUCUCUCGGCUGGCCUUGAAUUAUUUUAGCAAACGAGGUAAGAAGUAGAGUACAUAGUUCAAGAUAUCAGUGGGUGCAAAACUAAAUUUUGAUCACUGUAAGUAAUUUCAUUUCCUUCUGA
RNAcentral lists this unclassified non-coding RNA (402 nucleotides) under Hevea brasiliensis (rubber tree). Lineage: Eukaryota; Viridiplantae; Streptophyta; Magnoliopsida; Malpighiales; Euphorbiaceae. The record is from RNAcentral.